UAAUACGUAGGUGGCAAGCGUUGUCCGGAAUUAUUGGGCGUAAAGGGCGCGCAGGCGGCAUCAUAAGUCGGUCUUAAAAGUGCGGGGCUUAACCCCGUGAGGGGAUCGAAACUGUGGAGCUGGAGUAUCGGAGAGGAAAGCGGAAUUCCUAGUGUAGCGGUGAAAUGCGUAGAUAUUAGGAGGAACACCAGUGGCGAAAGCGGCUUUCUGGACGACAACUGACGCUGAGGCGCGAAAGCCAGGGGAGCGAACGGGAUUAGAUACCCCGGUAGUCCUGGCCGUAAACGAUGGAUACUAGGUGUAGGAGGUAUCGACCCCUUCUGUGCCGGAGUUAACGCAAUAAGUAUCCCGCCUGGGGAGUACGGCCGCAAGGCUGAA
RNAcentral lists this ribosomal RNA (378 nucleotides) under uncultured bacterium. RNAcentral describes it as "bacterial SSU rRNA". It matches the Rfam family "Bacterial small subunit ribosomal RNA", at positions 521 to 898 of the family's 1533-position model. The record is from RNAcentral.